AAAAAAUAAUGUGUAUGUCACUUUUGCUAUCUUCAAUCUUAUGUUUAAUUUCUUGCUAGAUUUGAAUGUUUAAUUCUAUUAUAUCUUCAAUCUUUAUAUUUUCAAUCUUCAAUCUAAUUUUUUUAUUUUUGUUUUUGUAGCAAUUCUUAACGACCACAAGAGAAGAUGACCUAGACUAUAUGGAAUAUCUUAAUUCUAUUAUAUACUUAGAUGAUUUCUUCAACUGAGGGGCACUUUGAAGAAUGAACAAUUGUUGAUGCUAAUUUAUUUUUUGCUAUUUGUCUUUUGGAUGGUUGUGCAAACUCCAUGAACAUUGUUAAUUUUCAAUUCUAUUUUGAGCCAUGAACAUUGUAUUUUGACAACAUAUACAUAACUGUUUAAUUUGAAGAAUGAA
This 394-nucleotide long non-coding RNA is filed under the name Lupinus angustifolius (narrow-leaved blue lupine). RNAcentral describes it as "long non-coding RNA (LANG_LNC001971)". Lineage: Eukaryota; Viridiplantae; Streptophyta; Magnoliopsida; Fabales; Fabaceae. The record is from RNAcentral.